This 4599-nucleotide unclassified non-coding RNA is filed under the name Daphnia pulex (common water flea). RNAcentral's name for it is "uncharacterized LOC124209635, transcript variant X1". Lineage: Eukaryota; Metazoa; Arthropoda; Branchiopoda; Diplostraca; Daphniidae. The record is from RNAcentral.
CGUUCAUUGUGGUUAGUGCCUGCAUCUGUUUCCGAUAAAAAAAACUUCGUUGCAUGCUGAUUUCUUUCCAACGAACCAUUUGGUUUUGAAAUCUAAAUCGUUGCCUAACCACUCUUUCUGCCUACGGCUAAAACUUCUCGUUCCUUAUCAAGGUUUUCCCCUCUGCUCACCAGCAUCCUGUUCUUUAUAUUUCUCAUGACAUUUUACGUAUUCACCUUCAGUCAGUUGUUUUCACGCCAAAUACGAAAGCACUAGGUGCCAAACAAUUUUACAGCAUGUGAUCACAUAUUUACAAUCACAGUGUCUGGAAAUGUUUGCGUGUAACUUCGUGAAGUCGAUGCAGUUGGUGUUUUUCUUUUACUUCGUUCGAAGUUAUGCGCAACGGAUACGUUUGCUUCCGGAUGUGGCAGAACAAGUGAUUGAUGCAGGUUCCAACAUCACUCUGAUUUGUAUCUUUGAGGAUUUAAAAUUUUACAGUAAAAUAUCGGCUGUGGCACCUCUAUCAUGGGAAUUGCCCGACUACAUCGUGAAAUAUCCGGAAGAGAGUUUUGUCGCUAAUCGCCUUGUUAAGACGUUUGACACCAAUGAAACGCACAAGAUAUCGUCUCUUACUCUGGCACAGGCCACAACGAAAGACACGGGAUAUUUCGGUUGUACCGGACGGUUAUUGCGUGUUUAUGAUGAAACCUUAGAAACCAAACAAUACGUCUACGUUUACCGUAUCUUAUUCGGGGUGUAUUCAUUAAAUCAAAUUUGCAAAAUUUGAUUCAAAAUUUGCUGUAUAGGUAACGAUAGCCUCGCUUUCAUUGACGAUCCAUCCCAAGGUGGUAGAAAGGGCUACCACUUUACUUUUCGACAAGGGAAUUCCGGCCUUGUUCCAUGCAAAUCCACUCAUCAAAAUGUUACCGUAACUAUCAAAUCGGGUAUCCUUACUGUGUUAUAAAUUCGGGAUAGCCCUGUGGCGUUUUUUGAAAUAAUUUCAAAAAUACCUCUCCUCGGAUUUGAACCAAUAAUAAAAAGUAUAACGUGGUUCCCAGCUAGCGACUGAACCCACUGUGCCAUCGGAAUACGUCAAUAUAUUAUGAACUCAUGAAAACCAAAGGGAAGUGGACGUCGACUAUAUUUUACGGGAUUUGAACCAAGGACCAAUAAAGAUAUUCGAGCUCCUAGGCGGAGUCUGAACCCACUGUACCAUCGGAAUAUAUCUUACAUUUUCGAUCUCUUCAACGUAUGAUGCAGACCAAAGAGAUGUGACCACAGAAUUAAUUUUACGGGUAUCUUCACUGUGUUAUAAAUUCGGGACAGCCCUCAGGCGAUUUUAGAAAUAAUUUUAAUAAUUUUUUGGAUUUGAACCAACGACUAAAAGUUACACAGGUAACUGAUAGUUACUUAACCCACUGUGCCACCUGAACUUUAUUUAGGAGUAUGUAAUAACAAAUUAAAAUGGAAUUAACAAUAAGGGAAUGCAAGACUCUUUUAAAAAAUCAUCAAUAAAGACGUAAUGAAAAAACUUUCAGCAUGAUCAACAUCCACCUCAAAAUAAGUGUCGUCAAACUGCACGUAACUUAAAAGAAGUUAGUAAAUCCCAGAUAUUGACACUUCAACUAGUACCAUCUUGCGUACAUUAUACUGUCCCGAUUUUGUGUACUUGGGUGUCCCGAUUUUGUGUUAUGGGUUUUAUCACCAGCAAGCUUCUCGAUCGAUUUUAUGGAAAUUUCUGAUUUUUUCUUGCAUUUCAAUGAAUGGAAUCUAGAGAUUCUGUCGAGCUCUUUCAUUUAAGACUAAAUUCAGCUCAAAAUAACCCCUAAAUAACUUAAUAUGGAUGGAUUUCAAACGUCCCAAAUCUAGCUUUUUUCUAAGUCCUUUUUUAUAAUAUAUUAUUUGUCAUAUCUUUACAAUUUGUACAGCUACAUUGACAUAGUUGUAUGUAAACGUAGAUCCGUUUAUUUUCUUUAAUUUCAGCAACUUUCCCUUUAAAAAAUCGGGUUAGUUUUUCUAUUAAACUGAAAAAUGUUAUUUCGUCCCAAAUAAGAAAUUUUCGGGCCUGUCCCGAAUUAGGUACUUUACCCUAACACAAUAAAUAAUAAAGAUGAAUUUUCAAAUGCAUUUUUAAUAUUUUAAAAUAGAAUAAACAAAAAUAAGUCAUUAAAAACAAAUUUGAUUUGUUUUUUUGCGCAAUUUAAAAAAAUUGUGAAUUUCAAUUACGAAAUUUAACAUAUCAAAAAUUGUCUAAUGACUUCGACCGUAUUUAAGGAUAGGGAAUCAAAUUAUGUUUAAAUUAAAUCUAUUUCUGGACACAUUGAUUAGUAAUUUUAUAGAUUAUAGAACAAAAACCUAUAUUUUUACUAUACCCCCGAGAGGCGAGGGUCCUCCUAACCUAGCGAACCUGGCGGGAAUCUUGGGAUCCUUUACUAAACACCCGCCGUUUCUUCCAAGAGACUGGGAUAGCCGGAUAGUGCAUCUUUCCUAUUAUAUCACGCUGAAACCAAGAAGUUAGAGUUGGGCUAUCAAAUUACAGCCUUAUGGAGAGUUGGAUCCCACACCCUUGCUACCUAUUAAUCAGAGUGUAGCAGAGACUUGACGUUGCUCGUUCCUGACCAAAUUCUCAAGAGAUUCAGUGCACGAAGAAUUCUACCAGAAGUCAUAACUAAGAAUUUUAUAGAAAGCUACGCGUGACGCUUGUCGGUCAAGGAAGAAGAAGAGCUACCCACCCGAUAUUGGCUGCCCCAUUUCGGUGUACCAAUGGCCUCUGGGUGUCAAGAAUUGCGCUUAGUAUUCGGCGCGGCCUCAAAGUAUCACGAAAGUAGCCUUAACAACUACGUCACGGCAAAACUGACCCUUCAAAACCCACUUCCCGCCGUUCGUUUCCGUUCUUCGUUUCCACUAGGGAGUGGUUGCCUGGGCAUCCGACAUCGUCGCCAUCUUUAGUCGCAUUCGAUACAACCGUGGAUUGAGGAGAGGCAGAUGGUGCCAUUCUGCGCAACAUCUACGUCGAUGACUACCUCGACUCUGGCAGGUGCAUGGAAGAAGCGUUCUGGUGAGCGACAGCAGUAAAUGGGUUGGUCAAGAGCGGCGACUUUCACCUAGACCAUUGGGUGUCGAACGACAUCCGUCUCUUGGUGAAACUCCCGCCAUUCGACUCGAAGAGUAACAAGUUUGUCAACAUUGGAGCUUACGACGCGGAGAUCAUCCUUGGAAUCACAGAGAGGCCCGCCACUAACAUGUUGGGGUUCCGAAUGAAAUUAAUACACAUCACCUACACGAGUGUUGAACUUUUAUCGAAAGUGCGGGUCUUUUUUACCCUUGGGGAACUGCUGCACAACUUACUCUGAAGGCCAAAAUUUGACUAAAAGAACUGGGCUUAAAAGGAUUGAAGUGAGAUGUCCCAGACACUGGUUCAGAUCGCGAAUGCUUUGAGCAGUUCUUCGGUGCAAUGGAGCAGCUGCAGAAAAUAGAAUUCUCCCGCUGCAUCUUUGCGGAUAAGGAAAAUAUUGUCCGUACGGAAUUGAAUACCUUCGUUGACGCCUCAGAAUAGGCCACAUGCUACAUCCAGCGUGUAUAAAGACCAUAAAGUAAUUGUCGUCACUCGUCAAAUCAGUGACAUAAUAUCUGUCCAUGGUUGAUGGUUCGAAUCACAAAAAAAUUAUAAUUGAUGAUUUAUAUUUGAAUGAUAUAAUUGAACAGUAUGAUUGGAAAGUCGACUAUUGCUAAGACAUCUAAGCGUGAAAAAAUGUUUGCUCUCUGAAAUCAUCAUUCAAUCUCAUUUUCACCCAUAUUUUUACGUCAAUAACAACAUCCGAAAAGUAACAUAUAAACAAGAAUGAAAUUAGCAUUGUAAAUUAGAUCGUUUUCAUGGAAGUUUGGAAAAAGUGUCACAUGCUUAUCUGCGUGCCACACUUUAGACAUUGGUACCGGGAAAAAUCCCAGCAGACAAAGAUUGGUCGAAACCGUAUUGGAGUAUCUGAAGGCUCCUAAGACACUCAUCUGACAUCUUCUACUUCAACUGCGGCGAUUUUGCUAUCCGUUUCCUCCCGUUUAUGGCACUCUCCAGGAGAUUGACCAUGCCAUGACGUUUCGUGUGGUGUUCGUGAAAUGCUUGAGUUAUUGAAACUCUCACGUAGUCUUCCUCCAUCUGUUUGGAAAUUUACUGUACUGACAGUUUCGUUCCUUUAGAUUGUCCUAUUACAUAAUGGCAUUUCUACAUCUUAUGACAAAAAAACUGAAAUUUAGCACCAACCUGAAUAUCAAGCAUGAUUGAGCGGAACAUCGCGAUGCAAUGUUCUUUUAAGACGUCAUCUAGUAUGGGAAUUAUCUUUUUUUUUUAUUUCGAUGUAAUUACAAUGCCGUUCAAUCAAAAGAUUAAUAUACUUCAGUACGAAUACAAUUUCUAAUUUAAGAUAAUGGUGGGACAAAAUUUUUUCCAUCGUACCAAAGUCGUACCCGCUUGUGAUUCCAGUAAAUCAUACCUAUAACACCAACAACGUUAGUUAUUCCACUUUUAAGUUAUCCCUAGUGAAAAUAUGACAAUUAAUAACAUUUAAUUGCUGUAGAUAACCAAAUCAAAGUAAUCUUAUAACAUUAAACGACAUAGAAGUUAAA